This 570-nucleotide ribosomal RNA is filed under the name uncultured bacterium. RNAcentral's name for it is "partial 16S ribosomal RNA". It matches the Rfam family "Bacterial small subunit ribosomal RNA", at positions 355 to 914 of the family's 1533-position model. The record is from RNAcentral.
UGGGGAAUAUUGCACAAUGGGCGCAAGCCUGAUGCAGCCAUGCCGCGUGUGUGAAGAAGGCCUUCGGGUUGUAAAGCACUUUCAGCGAGGAGGAAGGUGGUGAGCUUAAUACGCUCAUCAAUUGACGUUACUCGCAGAAGAAGCACCGGCUAACUCCGUGCCAGCAGCCGCGGUAAUACGGAGGGUGCAAGCGUUAAUCGGAAUUACUGGGCGUAAAGCGCACGCAGGCGGUUUGUUAAGUCAGAUGUGAAAAUCCCCGGGCUCAACCUGGGAACUGCAUUUGAAACUGGCAAGCUAGAGUCUCGUAGAGGGGGGUAGAAUUCCAGGUGUAGCGGUGAAAUGCGUAGAGAUCUGGAGGAAUACCGGUGGCGAAGGCGGCCCCCUGGACGAAGACUGACGCUCAGGUGCGAAAGCGUGGGGCAGCAAACAGGAUUAGAUACCCUGGUAGUCCACGCUGUAAACGAUGUCGAUUUUGGAGGUUGUGCCCUUGAGGCGUGGCUUCCGGAGCUAACGCGUUAAAUCGACCGCCUGGGGAGUACGGCCGCAAGGUUAAAACUCAAAGGAAUUGAC